UAGACUAGAUAAUUUUGUGCUGUUAAAAACCUUUUAGAAAACCACAAGUAUUUUUCUUAUAUUGUAAUAAGAGACCUAAGAAAGUAAAAUUAAAAGUGUAAAUUUUAUUGUAUGUAACAUUGUAUGGCUCGAUUCAAGGAGAACAAAGGCUGUUUGACCUACAAAUUCACACGUGUUUGGAACGAUUGGAGCUGUUACCAAGCUGGCACGGAAAACAGAGUGACGGAGGAACCUUCGCUGCAUCAAGUCUUUACAUAUCCCUCGAAAAUGGAUCAUCGAAGUUACCACAAAAUGCAAAUCUUUCUCAAACUGAUGUGUCACUUCCUCAUGUUUUAUUAGGUCAUGGCGCGUAUCCUUUAAAGACUUAUCUGAUGAAACCACAUUCAAAAAGAGAUUUAUCAAGGGUAGAACACAUUUAUUAUUGCAGAGAAUAGUAGAACGUGCCUUCGGUAUAAUUGCUGCCAAAUGGAGGUUACUCAGUAAGUGUACUGAAACUGGACCAGAUAAAGAUGAUUUAAUCGUAAAGUGCAUAUGCUUGUUACAUAAUAUUAUUAUUGAGAAGGAAAGUAUUUAUGAUCCAUCUAUUACAUCGUCGACACCACAAAAUGCAAGCAUAAUAAAUAUAAACAAUCACAAUCAAAUAAUAGGUCAGCACAACAGGCUUGUGACAUCAGAGAUGCACUUAAAAACUAUUUUAACAGUAGUGAAGGUAACAUUAUUCAACAGUUCGACGUUCCCUAAAUAUCCGUGCCACACACAAUCCACUGCUUCAACAAACAUAAAUGUAGAAUGUGUAGCAAAGAAACGUUUGUAAUAAACUUAAAUUGCAAUAUUUA
Zootermopsis nevadensis is the source of this 836-nucleotide long non-coding RNA. RefSeq lists it as uncharacterized. Lineage: Eukaryota; Metazoa; Arthropoda; Insecta; Blattodea; Termopsidae. The record is from RefSeq and is a predicted model, not a curated record.